This is a long non-coding RNA of Brassica rapa (field mustard), 8091 nucleotides long. RefSeq lists it as uncharacterized. The record is from RefSeq and is a predicted model, not a curated record. NCBI's taxonomy places the organism in Eukaryota, Viridiplantae, Streptophyta, Magnoliopsida, Brassicales, Brassicaceae.
UUUAAAAAAUCAGCAUAUUAAAAUGGAAUGAUUAUACAUAAGUUACGGAUUUUUAUUCAAAAUUUACGGUGGAGAUAUUACGAUUUGGUAGUUAAGACAAAUUUUAAUGUCUCAAAAAAUUCAUAAGAAAACAUUUUUAAUAGUUAAAAUAAUGAAAAUCUAGAGCUUACAAGUCUGAACUCUUGUAUAAGUUAUAUUUUUAAAUCUAAUAAAAUAUAUAUAUUCUUUAUAGAGAAAUUAUAACACAUGGCUGGAUAAAUUUUGGAUGGAUGUUACAAAAACCAAUAAUCAUAUGAUGAUCGUGAAGAGUAAAUAAAUCACCAAUAAUCAACAGACGAUCCAAAAUUAAUGUCAAGACACCAAAUGAAAGCCUCUGACAAAAACUAUCAAGACAUGGUAAUAAGUCUUGAAAUACUUGUCUGUAAGGUCAUAAAUCGGUCAAAUUGCACCAAUUGAAAGAUGAAAUUUGCCGAGUCUAACUACCGAUUUAAGGCGCUUAUCAGUGUGCCACAUACCAGUCUGGAACCCGUCCCAGAACCUAGACAUUCGGUUAGAAUAUUAAUUGUUUUCCUAUAACCUCUGGAAUUGAAAACCUUGCCCAUCAGAUUCUCCUUGAUUCAAGUGGUCAAAUAAUGAACGGUCAACGCUGUUGAGUUUCUGGAACUGUAUAGUUUCCACUGUAAUUCUGAAUCAAACAUGAAAUCAUCAAUGAUUUGCUAAAUCUCUUUGACGGUGGAACAUUUUGAAAGUAAAAAAGUAGAAGCUUACAAAAUCAUUUAAAACAAGCUAUAAUGCGACCAUAAAUUUUCAAAACUAAAACCAAUAAAGUGUAAUUAUUAAAAUACUAGAAAUCACAUUUAUUUAUUGGCAAAAUCCAAAAAAGGUGAAUAGUGAUAAACAAAAGUUCAGCAAUUUUAAUCCUAAUCCGCAAAGGAGGCUGUAGAAAAAGUCUGGGGGGGGGGGAGGCGCUGAAACGAGUAUAAAUAUUGAACAUUUUGAUGGAAAAUACAUAUUUUGGGCUUCAAAUUGAAUUGAUUCACUUGAUGAAAACAUAACGUCGUUUUUAUUCGUCUGCAAGGUGGUCCUUCUAUUUUACAAUAUUUACAAAAAUCACUUUAAACUUUUCAAACUGAUCAUAAAUCUCCGUGAACUGUACAUAUUCAAACUUUUAAUUUCAUCAUAAUAACACAAUCAUUUUUACUAUGUGUACAUACAUUUGGGCAUUGCACAGUCUCAUUACAGUUUUUAACAUUUCACAAUACAAAAAAAUAAGUAACUGUAGUUCCACAUAGUUUCGUAAAAGUAUCUAAGAGUUAGGAGUUUCUUUUGUGCUUAUUAAUAUCACAAACUGUAACUUAAAACAUUGUUUUUUCAUAACAUUUGUGAAAACCUAUAUAAAUAGGAAGGCAUCAAACUUUUUAAACAUCACAACAAAAUAUCAAAACAAAUAGAUUUAAAAAUCGGUAAUUCUUAACUACUACUAAAUUUCCAAAAAGAUGAAAUCUGGUGUUUUAUUUGCAACUCUUCUAGUAAUUUUUGUGUCAUGUGCCUCAAAUAUUUUUGCAAAAUCCUCUUGUGAAGAUAAAACAGAUAUUUCAAGUCAAGCACCUAGCCCUCAACUUGAUAUCCAAAUAAAAAACCAAGUGCUUCAUGAUAAAAAAAUUAAACCUCAUGCUGCCAAUAAUCCAAUUGGAUUUUGUCAAGAAUGUGCACAUCAUUGUAUUAGAAAGAAGAGGUUUAUGCUAGAAUGCCGAAACUUUGCUUGUUACUGUGAUCAUAGCAGAUAUAAUCAGAGAAUAUGUAAAGGGUGGCAAAGAUUAUGGUGCAUUAAUUACUAAGAUGUAUUUUGGAAUUCCAAUAUAAAAUAAAGAAACCAUUAUAUUAUUUACUGUUCAAUUUUAGUGUUUUUACUUCACGUAUUUGUUACGUUAACUAGCUUGUAGGUUAUGUAUGGGUGCAUAUAUAUUUUUAAAAAAAUCAGCAUAUUAGAAUGGAAUGAUUAUACAUAAGUUACGGAUUUUUAUUCAAAAUUUACGGUGGAGAUAUUACGAUUUGGUAGUUAAGACAAAUUUUAAUGUCUCAAAAAAUUCAUAAGAAAACAUUUUUAAUAGUUAAAAUAAUGAAAAUCUAGAGCUUACAAGUCUGAACUCUUGUAUAAGUUAUAUUUUUAAAUCUAAUAAAAUAUAUAUAUUCUUUAUAGAGAAAUUAUAACACAUGGCUGGAUAAAUUUUGGAUGGAUGUUACAAAAACCAAUAAUCAUAUGAUGAUCGUGAAGAGUAAAUAAAUCACCAAUAAUCAACAGACGAUCCAAAAUUAAUGUCAAGACACCAAAUGAAAGCCUCUGACAAAAACUAUCAAGACAUGGUAAUAAGUCUUGAAAUACUUGUCUGUAAGGUCAUAAAUCGGUCAAAUUGCACCAAUUGAAAGAUGAAAUUUGCCGAGUCUAACUACCGAUUUAAGGCGCUUAUCAGUGUGCCACAUACCAGUCUGGAACCCGUCCCAGAACCUAGACAUUCGGUUAGAAUAUUAAUUGUUUUCCUAUAACCUCUGGAAUUGAAAACCUUGCCCAUCAGAUUCUCCUUGAUUCAAGUGGUCAAAUAAUGAACGGUCAACGCUGUUGAGUUUCUGGAACUGUAUAGUUUCCACUGUAAUUCUGAAUCAAACAUGAAAUCAUCAAUGAUUUGCUAAAUCUCUUUGACGGUGGAACAUUUUGAAAGUAAAAAAGUAGAAGCUUACAAAAUCAUUUAAAACAAGCUAUAAUGCGACCAUAAAUUUUCAAAACUAAAACCAAUAAAGUGUAAUUAUUAAAAUACUAGAAAUCACAUUUAUUUAUUGGCAAAAUCCAAAAAAGGUGAAUAGUGAUAAACAAAAGUUCAGCAAUUUUAAUCCUAAUCCGCAAAGGAGGCUGUAGAAAAAGUCUGGGGGGGGGGGGGGGAGGCGCUGAAACGAGUAUAAAUAUUGAACAUUUUGAUGGAAAAUACAUAUUUUGGGCUUCAAAUUGAAUUGAUUCACUUGAUGAAAACAUAACGUCGUUUUUAUUCGUCUGCAAGGUGGUCCUUCUAUUUUACAAUAUUUACAAAAAUCACUUUAAACUUUUCAAACUGAUCAUAAAUCUCCGUGAACUGUACAUAUUCAAACUUUUAAUUUCAUCAUAAUAACACAAUCAUUUUUACUAUGUGUACAUACAUUUGGGCAUUGCACAGUCUCAUUACAGUUUUUAACAUUUCACAAUACAAAAAAAUAAGUAACUGUAGUUCCACAUAGUUUCGUAAAAGUAUCUAAGAGUUAGGAGUUUCUUUUGUGCUUAUUAAUAUCACAAACUGUAACUUAAAACAUUGUUUUUUCAUAACAUUUGUGAAAACCUAUAUAAAUAGGAAGGCAUCAAACUUUUUAAACAUCACAACAAAAUAUCAAAACAAAUAGAUUUAAAAAUCGGUAAUUCUUAACUACUACUAAAUUUCCAAAAAGAUGAAAUCUGGUGUUUUAUUUGCAACUCUUCUAGUAAUUUUUGUGUCAUGUAAGUUGAUUUUCAGUGAUAAAUAUAAUAUCAUACUUUUUUAAUAUCUUUAAUAUUUUAAAUGAAUAUCUAAUAGCUCUAUAUAUGACUGAAAAUUUUGUAGGUGCCUCAAAUAUUUUUGCAAAAUCCUCUUGUGAAGAUAAAACAGAUAUUUCAAGUCAAGCACCUAGCCCUCAACUUGAUAUCCAAAUAAAAAACCAAGUGCUUCAUGAUAAAAAAAUUAAACCUCAUGCUGCCAAUAAUCCAAUUGGAUUUUGUCAAGAAUGUGCACAUCAUUGUAUUAGAAAGAAGAGGUUUAUGCUAGAAUGCCGAAACUUUGCUUGUUACUGUGAUCAUAGCAGAUAUAAUCAGAGAAUAUGUAAAGGGUGGCAAAGAUUAUGGUGCAUUAAUUACUAAGAUGUAUUUUGGAAUUCCAAUAUAAAAUAAAGAAACCAUUAUAUUAUUUACUGUUCAAUUUUAGUGUUUUUACUUCACGUAUUUGUUACGUUAACUAGCUUGUAGGUUAUGUAUGGGUGCAUAUAUAUUUUAAAAAAAAUCAGCAUAUUAAAAUGGAAUGAUUAUACAUAAGUUACAGAUUUUUAUUCAAAAUUUACGGUGGAGAUAUUACGAUUUGGUAGUUAAGACAAAUUUUAAUGUCUCAAAAAAUUCAUAAGAAAACAUUUUUAAUAGUUAAAAUAAUGAAAAUCUAGAGCUUACAAGUCUGAACUCUUGUAUAAGUUAUAUUUUUAAAUCUAAUAAAAUAUAUAUAUUCUUUAUAGAGAAAUUAUAACACAUGGCUGGAUAAAUUUUGGAUGGAUGUUACAAAAACCAAUAAUCAUAUGAUGAUCGUGAAGAGUAAAUAAAUCACCAAUAAUCAACAGACGAUCCAAAAUUAAUGUCAAGACACCAAAUGAAAGCCUCUGACAAAAACUAUCAAGACAUGGUAAUAAGUCUUGAAAUACUUGUCUGUAAGGUCAUAAAUCGGUCAAAUUGCACCAAUUGAAAGAUGAAAUUUGCCGAGUCUAACUACCGAUUUAAGGCGCUUAUCAGUGUGCCACAUACCAGUCUGGAACCCGUCCCAGAACCUAGACAUUCGGUUAGAAUAUUAAUUGUUUUCCUAUAACCUCUGGAAUUGAAAACCUUGCCCAUCAGAUUCUCCUUGAUUCAAGUGGUCAAAUAAUGAACGGUCAACGCUGUUGAGUUUCUGGAACUGUAUAGUUUCCACUGUAAUUCUGAAUCAAACAUGAAAUCAUCAAUGAUUUGCUAAAUCUCUUUGACGGUGGAACAUUUUGAAAGUAAAAAAGUAGAAGCUUACAAAAUCAUUUAAAACAAGCUAUAAUGCGACCAUAAAUUUUCAAAACUAAAACCAAUAAAGUGUAAUUAUUAAAAUACUAGAAAUCACAUUUAUUUAUUGGCAAAAUCCAAAAAAGGUGAAUAGUGAUAAACAAAAGUUCAGCAAUUUUAAUCCUAAUCCGCAAAGGAGGCUGUAGAAAAAGUCUGGGGGGGGGGGGGAGGCGCUGAAACGAGUAUAAAUAUUGAACAUUUUGAUGGAAAAUACAUAUUUUGGGCUUCAAAUUGAAUUGAUUCACUUGAUGAAAACAUAACGUCGUUUUUAUUCGUCUGCAAGGUGGUCCUUCUAUUUUACAAUAUUUACAAAAAUCACUUUAAACUUUUCAAACUGAUCAUAAAUCUCCGUGAACUGUACAUAUUCAAACUUUUAAUUUCAUCAUAAUAACACAAUCAUUUUUACUAUGUGUACAUACAUUUGGGCAUUGCACAGUCUCAUUACAGUUUUUAACAUUUCACAAUACAAAAAAAUAAGUAACUGUAGUUCCACAUAGUUUCGUAAAAGUAUCUAAGAGUUAGGAGUUUCUUUUGUGCUUAUUAAUAUCACAAACUGUAACUUAAAACAUUGUUUUUUCAUAACAUUUGUGAAAACCUAUAUAAAUAGGAAGGCAUCAAACUUUUUAAACAUCACAACAAAAUAUCAAAACAAAUAGAUUUAAAAAUCGGUAAUUCUUAACUACUACUAAAUUUCCAAAAAGAUGAAAUCUGGUGUUUUAUUUGCAACUCUUCUAGUAAUUUUUGUGUCAUGUGCCUCAAAUAUUUUUGCAAAAUCCUCUUGUGAAGAUAAAACAGAUAUUUCAAGUCAAGCACCUAGCCCUCAACUUGAUAUCCAAAUAAAAAACCAAGUGCUUCAUGAUAAAAAAAUUAAACCUCAUGCUGCCAAUAAUCCAAUUGGAUUUUGUCAAGAAUGUGCACAUCAUUGUAUUAGAAAGAAGAGGUUUAUGCUAGAAUGCCGAAACUUUGCUUGUUACUGUGAUCAUAGCAGAUAUAAUCAGAGAAUAUGUAAAGGGUGGCAAAGAUUAUGGUGCAUUAAUUACUAAGAUGUAUUUUGGAAUUCCAAUAUAAAAUAAAGAAACCAUUAUAUUAUUUACUGUUCAAUUUUAGUGUUUUUACUUCACGUAUUUGUUACGUUAACUAGCUUGUAGGUUAUGUAUGGGUGCAUAUAUAUUUUAAAAAAAAAAUCAGCAUAUUAAAAUGGAAUGAUUAUACAUAAGUUACGGAUUUUUAUUCAAAAUUUACGGUGGAGAUAUUACGAUUUGGUAGUUAAGACAAAUUUUAAUGUCUCAAAAAAUUCAUAAGAAAACAUUUUUAAUAGUUAAAAUAAUGAAAAUCUAGAGCUUACAAGUCUGAACUCUUGUAUAAGUUAUAUUUUUAAAUCUAAUAAAAUAUAUAUAUUCUUUAUAGAGAAAUUAUAACACAUGGCUGGAUAAAUUUUGGAUGGAUGUUACAAAAACCAAUAAUCAUAUGAUGAUCGUGAAGAGUAAAUAAAUCACCAAUAAUCAACAGACGAUCCAAAAUUAAUGUCAAGACACCAAAUGAAAGCCUCUGACAAAAACUAUCAAGACAUGGUAAUAAGUCUUGAAAUACUUGUCUGUAAGGUCAUAAAUCGGUCAAAUUGCACCAAUUGAAAGAUGAAAUUUGCCGAGUCUAACUACCGAUUUAAGGCGCUUAUCAGUGUGCCACAUACCAGUCUGGAACCCGUCCCAGAACCUAGACAUUCGGUUAGAAUAUUAAUUGUUUUCCUAUAACCUCUGGAAUUGAAAACCUUGCCCAUCAGAUUCUCCUUGAUUCAAGUGGUCAAAUAAUGAACGGUCAACGCUGUUGAGUUUCUGGAACUGUAUAGUUUCCACUGUAAUUCUGAAUCAAACAUGAAAUCAUCAAUGAUUUGCUAAAUCUCUUUGACGGUGGAACAUUUUGAAAGUAAAAAAGUAGAAGCUUACAAAAUCAUUUAAAACAAGCUAUAAUGCGACCAUAAAUUUUCAAAACUAAAACCAAUAAAGUGUAAUUAUUAAAAUACUAGAAAUCACAUUUAUUUAUUGGCAAAAUCCAAAAAAGGUGAAUAGUGAUAAACAAAAGUUCAGCAAUUUUAAUCCUAAUCCGCAAAGGAGGCUGUAGAAAAAGUCUAGGGGGGGGGGGGGGAGGCGCUGAAACGAGUAUAAAUAUUGAACAUUUUGAUGGAAAAUACAUAUUUUGGGCUUCAAAUUGAAUUGAUUCACUUGAUGAAAACAUAACGUCGUUUUUAUUCGUCUGCAAGGUGGUCCUUCUAUUUUACAAUAUUUACAAAAAUCACUUUAAACUUUUCAAACUGAUCAUAAAUCUCCGUGAACUGUACAUAUUCAAACUUUUAAUUUCAUCAUAAUAACACAAUCAUUUUUACUAUGUGUACAUACAUUUGGGCAUUGCACAGUCUCAUUACAGUUUUUAACAUUUCACAAUACAAAAAAAUAAGUAACUGUAGUUCCACAUAGUUUCGUAAAAGUAUCUAAGAGUUAGGAGUUUCUUUUGUGCUUAUUAAUAUCACAAACUGUAACUUAAAACAUUGUUUUUUCAUAACAUUUGUGAAAACCUAUAUAAAUAGGAAGGCAUCAAACUUUUUAAACAUCACAACAAAAUAUCAAAACAAAUAGAUUUAAAAAUCGGUAAUUCUUAACUACUACUAAAUUUCCAAAAAGAUGAAAUCUGGUGUUUUAUUUGCAACUCUUCUAGUAAUUUUUGUGUCAUGUAAGUUGAUUUUCAGUGAUAAAUAUAAUAUCAUACUUUUUAAUAUCUUUAAUAUUUUAAAUGAAUAUCUAAUAGCUCUAUACAUGACUGAAAAUUUUGUAGGUACCUCAAAUAUUUUUGCAAAAUCCUCUUGUGAAGAUAAAACAGAUAUUUCAAGUCAAGCACCUAGCCCUCAACUUGAUAUCCAAAUAAAAAAACAAGUGCUUCAUGAUAAAAAAAAUUAAACCUCAUGCUGCCAAUAAUCCAAUUGGAUUUUGUCAAGAAUGUGCACAUCAUUGUAUUAGAAAGAAGAGGUUUAUGCUAGAAUGCCGAAACUUUGCUUGUUACUGUGAUCAUAGCAGAUAUAAUCAGAGAAUAUGUAAAGGGUGGCAAAGAUUAUGGUGCAUUAAUUACUAAGAUGUAUUUUGGAAUUCCAAUAUAAAAUAAAGAAACCAUUAUAUUAUUUACUGUUCAAUUUUAGUGUUUUUACUUCACGUAUUUGUUACGUUAACUAGCUUGUAGGUUAUGUAUGGGUGCAUAUAUAUUUU